GUGUCCAUCUUUCAAGCGGUUGUCUCAUCGAAGCGAAUUUAACAGUGGAGCUGGAGAAUGUUUCCAUUGCUCACGCUGGACUGUAAUUGAAAGGAACAGAGAAAAGGAUCAUCUGGACUUGCUAACACCCAAGACGAGAACUUGGAUUGAUGAGAUGAAAGAGGUGAGCAAUGUUUUAGUUCCACUUUAAUUGCUGUUUAAAAUGAAAAGAAACAAUAAGGCCUCACUCUGUUCUGGGCUCCAAGGAAAGCACUGAACGUGGGGUAAACGUGGUCACCCUGGACCAGAAAUGGGCCUGAUUUCACCACAGCGGAGUUGGUUGCACAUCACAACAGCAGUUUGGCAGAAAUGACAAAGCUGGUGUCACUCUUCAACCCUGGAGAAUCCAGAAUAUGUUCCAGUGCCUCAACAACUCAAGCAGUGAGUUUGUCCUCAUCUCAUGGGAUACAUUGGAACAUGGAUCACAUGCCUGAGAACGAAAGGAAAGGACACACAGCAGCCUGGGAAAGGAAACAGACGUCCAGAGGCUCAGUGGCUGUCAUUGCGAAAGAAUAUUCCCACUCUUAUUAACGUCAAGAGUUUCUGUGACUGCGUGCGUCUUUCUCACAGCACAGGCUCUCUAGACACUUCAACUGAUCUUCCAGCGUAAGCAGGUAAUGCAAUCUGAGGGGCUGCUCCAAAGGCAAGAAUUCUGCAGGGAUGGAGAGAAGCGAGUCCUCUGUGAUUUCUGCCUGUUUCAUCACGUGUUUAGCGUUCGCAGGCUUGGUGGGAAUGGGGAAGGCCUGGUCGGCGCCAGAAAAGUGUAGGAGACUUCCAUGUGACAAAGUCACUUUUGAUGCCACUGUUUAUGAAUCUUGUGUUGAGCCGUUCACUCAGACCAUGGCAAACACUGACUACAAACUCAGAUGUCCCUGGCCAAGCACUAGAAGAGGCUACGUCGACCUGACGCUGUGUCUGGAGGAUCUGGCUAACUCCACAUGCUGUACAGACGCUUCCUACAGACACUGCAUGCUGCUGGACAUCCAUAAGGUUUAUUUCUCCAUGUGCUCAUAUAUGCAGGACCCAGGUAUUCCCAUCCUGCUGCUGCUCAUCAUGCCCUGUGUCAUCAUCCCAUUCAUUAUACCAUUCCUCUGGCAGUACUUCAAACUGCACGAGUACAGACUGCCAAAGAACUAAUGAUUGAACAGUGUGUUGCAUUUCAGAAUGGACAAUGUGCAUGAAUCAAAGUACUCUUUAUUCUUUUUUUUUGAUAGGCCUCACAGUAUAUUUGAAGUGAUUUUAAUUUUUAAAGUAUCCUAAAGACCAUAUUGUUAGAUUACAUUUAUGCAUUUGGGAGACACUUUAUCCCGAGAAACUUAUAUUGCUUUCAAGGUACAACAUUGUGUAAAUGUUUACUUGUAUGUAUGUAUCUUAUUUUGUGUACAUCUUAAUCAUUCUAAUAUUCUGAUUUGGUGCUCAAGAAACAUUUCUUAUGAAUGUUGAAAACUGUUGUGCUGCUUAAUAUUUUUGUGAAAAAACAAAAUUUUAAGUCCCCCCCAAGAUUAUUUGAUGAAUAGAAAGUCCAAAUUAAUAUAUUAUUUCAUUUAUUAUACCGUACACUGUCCUUAGUGUAACUUUUGAUCAAUUUACUGUGUCCUUGCUGAAAAAAAAAGUAAAACUUAAUAUUUAAAUUAAAUAUCAAAACAACUUACUGAACCCAAACGUUUAAGCAACAGUGUAUAUGACCUGGAUGGUAGCCAAAAAAAGUAAUAAAAUAAAGUAACAAAUAAAAAUAAAUAUUUAU
Molecule: long non-coding RNA, 1783 nt
Organism: Cyprinus carpio (common carp)
Lineage: Eukaryota; Metazoa; Chordata; Actinopteri; Cypriniformes; Cyprinidae
Source: Ensembl